UACGUAGGGGGCAAGCGUUGUCCGGAUUUAUUGGGCGUAAAGCGCUCGCAGGUGGUCCGAUACGUCGUGCGUGAAAUCCCCGGGCUCAACCUGGGAAUUGCGAUGGAGACUGCAAGGCUAGAAUCUGGCAGAGGGGGGUAGAAUUCCACGUGUAGCAGUGAAAUGCGUAGAGAUGUGGAGGAACACCGAUGGCGAAGGCAGCCCCCUGGGUCAAGAUUGACGCUCAGGCACGAAAGCGUGGGGAGCAAACAGG
Molecule: ribosomal RNA, 253 nt
Filed under: uncultured bacterium
Lineage: Bacteria
Description: partial 16S ribosomal RNA
Rfam family: Bacterial small subunit ribosomal RNA
Source: RNAcentral